UGCGGUAUAAUUCUUGUUAUUUUCGAAAUUCGGAUUAAUGGUUGAAAAAAUUUAGAUUUGGAAUUCGGAUUUUUGGGUUCAGAUUUCUGUACGUGUUAAAAAAAAAUUUAAAUUAUUUGGGGCGGGCCGUCGGCAGCCGGCCAGCAGCUUCGCUGUUGCACACAGUAGCGCGAGCUGCUGGGCAGCACGCAGCAGCGUAGGCACUGCCUAAGGGAGAAGAAGAGAACCUUUUAGGUUUUUCAAUUUUUUACCAGAUUUUUUGGGGGUGAGGGCUUCCUCUGUAAAUUAGAUAAGUUGAGGCCCCUGGUUGCAAUUAGGGUUAGGGUUAUAAAAUUAAGGUUUCAGUCCCUAACAUUUAAGUUAUAUUAAGCUUUGGGCCUUUAAGUUUCGAAUUUAAUAAUUCAGUCCCUAAGGUUUAAAAUUAAUUAAUUCGGGCCAUUAAAGUUCUGAAUUUAUAACUAAAGCCCUCAAAAUUUAAUUAUUAAUUCAAAUUGGCCCCCUAAGUUUAUAAUUAAUUCAAAUUGACCCCUAAAGUUUCAAAUUUUUAAAAUUUGAUCCCUAAAGUUUUGAAUUAUUAAUCCUAAGGCCCCUAAAGUUUAAAACUAAUCAAAAUAUGCAAAACUGGUGAUUCUCUUUCUCAAAUUUUGGUACCAAAGACUCUUUUAAGAGAUAUAAUAUUCGAAAGUUAGUUAAUUGAAGCAAUAUGUUGCCAAAGCAAUCUCUCUUGUGAAAAUUGACUAACUUAGAAUGUUAAAAAGUGUUUGUGCAUGUGUUAUUCAUGGGAAUAUUGGUCGGCCCAAAGGAAGGUCAAUAUUUAGUCGAAUACACGUGCACCUGUGGUGAUAAACGUGUGACGAUUAUUUGGUUUAAUGUGUGAUCAAUAAAUUGGUCCAAAGAAAGGUUUAUUGAAUGACACGUUUUAUCGUCAAUGUUUGAUCACUAUGUCAAGAGUACCGCCUACAAGUCAAUAUCUCUGUCCAAAGGCUGGAUAUUAAUGUUGUGUUUGGUAUCUUGUGAUGGGCCCUAUCACUAUUUGAGAUUAUUAUUAUUAGCAUAUUAAACAUAUUCAAAGUGAGCUACUCAUAAUAAUCGCUCUCUAAUUCAGUUUCAGGUUCUGCUGCUAAUAUCUCUGUUAGCAUGAAUUCAAUUCCAAUGCUGAAUGACACAAACUUCAGGGCUUGGCAAGAGAAUGUGAUGAUUGUUCUCAGAGUCAUGGACCUAGACUUUGCUUUAUGAGUCGAUCAACCUGCUGCACUUACUGAUAAGAGUACAUCUGAUGACAAGAGGGAGAUGGAAAAUUGGGAACGAUUGAACCGCAUAAGUUUAAUGGUCAUGAAGCAUGCUAUUCCAGAAGCAUUCCGGGGCACUAUGUCCGAUAAGGUGACUACGGCUAAGGGUUUCCUUGAGGACCUUGAGAAGAGGUUUGCCAAGAAUGAAAAGGCUGAAACAAGUACACUUUUCGCAAAUCUUGUCUCAAUGAGGUAUAAAGGGAAAUGAAACAUUUGGGAGUACAUUAUGGAAAUGUCUCACAUUGCUUCAAAACUAAAGGCACUCAAGUUGGAUUUAUCUGAAGACUUGUUGGUGCACUUGGUUCUGAUAUCCCUUCCGGCACAUUUCGGUCAAUUCAUGGUGAGCUACAACUGUCAAAAGGACUCAUGGUCCCUUAAUGAGCUCAUCUCACACUGUGUCCAGGAAGAGGAAAGACCGAAGUAUGAGAAGACAGAAAGUGCUCAUUUAGCCACCACAUCUAAGGACAAAAGUAACAAGAAAAGGAAGAUUAAUAAGGAAGCUGCGUGUACGGCAUCGCAAAAGAAAUAGCAUAAGGAAUCAACUGAAUGUGGUUGUUUCUUCUGUGGAGCUGCAUGUCAUAAAAAGAAGAAUUGCACCAAUUACUACGCAUGACGUGUAAAGAAAGGUACUUUUCUUCAUUUGGUUUGUUCUGAGGUUAAUUUAACUUUGGUACCUAGACAUACAUGGUGGAUAGAUUCUGGUGCAACAACUUACAUCAGUAUGUCUAUGCAGGGUUGCCUGAGUUGUCGAAAAUCAAGUGAUGGUGAAAGAUACAUCUAUGCUGGCGAUGGCAAAAGAAUGGAAGUAGAGGCAAUAGGAAAAUUUAGAUUAUUGUUAAAGACUGGAUUUUAUUUGGAUCUUGUUGAGACAUUUAUUGUACCGUCUUUUAGACGGAAUUUGAUUUCUAUUUCUAUUUUGGACAAAUUUGGUUAUACUUGUUCAUUUGGAAAUGGAAAAUUUAGUUUGUUUCAUGAUUCAAAAUUGGUUGGUUCCGGUUCUUUAUCAGGUUACGAUAAUCUUUAUUCAAUUGAUACAAUUGCUUUUUAUAAUGAAACCUUGCAUGUAAGUACUCGAGGUGUAAAACAAAAAUUAAACAACAAGAAUUCUGCAUCGUUGUGGCAUAAGAGAUUAGGUCACAUCUCCAAAAGGAGAAUUGAGAGACUUGUGUCUGACGGGAUUCUCGACCCUCUUGAUUUCACAGAUUAUGAUUUGUGUGUCAACUGUAUAAAGGGAAAACAAACCAAUAAAAGGAGAUUUCAAGCAAAUAGGACUUCGGAUGUCUUAGAACUUAUACAUACGGAUAUUUGUGGACCAUUCCCUAUGAGUUCUUGGAAUGAUCAACAAUAUUUUAUAACGUUCAUAGACGACUUUUCAAGAUAUGGCUACAUAUAUCUCAUUCAUGAAAAAUCACAGUCAUUGGAUGUGUUCAAAAACUAUAAAGCUGAAGUUGAGAACCAACUCGGCAAAAGGAUUAAAAGCGUCAGAUCUGACCGUGGGGGUGAAUACUAUGGCAGAUAUGACGGUUCAAGUGAACAUCGUCCAGGACCAUUUGCUAAAUUCCUAGAGGAAUGUGGUAUCGUCCCACAGUAUACUAUGCCGGGUUCGCCCACUAUGAAUGGUGUUGCUGAGAGACGAAACAGAACGUUUAAGGACAUGGUGAGGAGUAUGAUUAAUCAUUCUACCCUAUCAGAAUCUCUCUGGGGUGAAGCAUUAAAGACCGCAGCUUAUAUACUCAACAGAGUUCCAACUAAGGCCACUGAUAAAACCCCAUAUGAGCUUUGGAUGGGCAAGAAGCCUAGUUUGAAGCAUAUACAUAUUUGGGGGGUGUCCAGUUGAGGCAAGGCCCUAUAAGUCAAAUGAAAAGAAACUGGACGCAAUGACCAUCAGUUGCUAUUUCAUUGGAUAUUCUGAAAGGUCCAAGGGUUACAAGUUUUACGAUCCCACAACUAAGGCAAUUCUCGAGACAGGAAAUGCUAGGUUCUUUGAAGAUGUUGAGUUUGUGGGGGGAGAAAGGGUUACAGGCUUUGUCUUUGAGGAGGAAUAUGUUGAAAUUCCUCCAAUUGCCAUUGACAAUGAUCAGGUUUCUAUCCCUGAUAUUGUUCAAGAAGCAACUCUGGAUCAAGACAAUGUCAUACUUCCCUCUCAAGAUCAACAAUUGUUCUAGAAGAACAAACUCUACAGUCUCAAGAACCAAUGCCAUUAAGAAGAUCCACUAGAGAGAGGAGAAGUGCGGUUUCGAAUGAUUACAUCGUAUUUCUUCAAGAACAUGAAGUUGACAUUGGAAUGGUGAAAGAUGAUCCAAUCAACUUCCGUCAAGCCAUGGAAAGUUCUAACUCUCAAAAGUGGCUCGAUGCUAUGAAUGAAGAGAUAAAGUCCAUAAAGGACAAUGACGUAUGUGACCUCGUUCCAUUGCCUGAAGGUGCGAAACUUAUUGGUUGCAAAUGGAUAUUUAAGACCAAGAGGGAUUCAAAAGGUGAUGUAGAGAGGUAUAAGACUCGUCUUGUCGCAAAGGGUUUUACACAGAAAGAAGGCAUCGAUUAUAAAGAGACUUUCUCUCCGAUUUCUUCGAAAGACUCUUUCAGGACUAUAAUGGCAUUGGUAGCGCAUUUCGAUCUUGAGCUACAUCAGAUGGAUGUUAAGAUAGCGUUUCUCAAUGGUGACAUUGAUGAAACAAUUUUUAUGGUACAACUAGAAAACUUUGUAUCGGACGAUGCAAAGCAAAUGGUUUGUAAAUUAAAGAAAUCCAUCUAUGGACUCAAACAGGCGUCUCGUCAAUGGUAUUACAAGUUUCAUCAGGUGAUCAUCUCAUUUGGUUUUGAGAUGAAUUUGGUUGAUGAUUAUAUAUACCACAAGUUCAGUGGGAGCAAGUAUAUUUUUCUGGUUUUAUAUGUCGAUGACAUAUUGCUUGCCAGCAACGAUAUUGGUUUAUUGCACGAAACCAAGAGAUUUCUAGCAAAGAAUUUUGAGAUGAAAGAUCUUGGUGAUGCCUCUUUUGUAUUAGGAAUUCAGAUACACCGAG
Molecule: long non-coding RNA, 4309 nt
Filed under: Olea europaea subsp. europaea
Lineage: Eukaryota; Viridiplantae; Streptophyta; Magnoliopsida; Lamiales; Oleaceae
Source: RNAcentral